Molecule: ribosomal RNA, 505 nt
Filed under: uncultured Bacillota bacterium
Lineage: Bacteria; Bacillati; Bacillota
Description: bacterial SSU rRNA
Rfam family: Bacterial small subunit ribosomal RNA
Source: RNAcentral
UAGGGAAUCUUCCGCAAUGGACGAAAGUCUGACGGAGCAACGCCGCGUGAGCGAAGAAGGCCUUCGGGUCGUAAAGCUCUGUUGUUAGGGAAGAACAAGUACGAGAGUAACUGCUCGUACCUUGACGGUACCUAACCAGAAAGCCACGGCUAACUACGUGCCAGCAGCCGCGGUAAUACGUAGGUGGCAAGCGUUGUCCGGAAUUAUUGGGCGUAAAGCGCGCGCAGGCGGUCCUUUAAGUCUGAUGUGAAAGCCCACGGCUCAACCGUGGAGGGUCAUUGGAAACUGGGGGACUUGAGUGCAGAAGAGGAGAGUGGAAUUCCACGUGUAGCGGUGAAAUGCGUAGAGAUGUGGAGGAACACCAGUGGCGAAGGCGACUCUCUGGUCUGUAACUGACGCUGAGGCGCGAAAGCGUGGGGAGCAAACAGGAUUAGAUACCCUGGUAGUCCUCGCCGUAAACGAUGAGUGCUAAGUGUUAGAGGGUUUCCGCCCUUUAGUGCUGCAG